This 347-nucleotide RNase P RNA is filed under the name uncultured Alistipes sp. Its description in RNAcentral is "Bacterial RNase P class A". It matches the Rfam family "Bacterial RNase P class A". From Rfam's summary of the family: Ribonuclease P (RNase P) is a ubiquitous endoribonuclease, found in archaea, bacteria and eukarya as well as chloroplasts and mitochondria. Its best characterised activity is the generation of mature 5'-ends of tRNAs by cleaving the 5'-leader elements of precursor-tRNAs. The record is from RNAcentral. Lineage: Bacteria; Pseudomonadati; Bacteroidota; Bacteroidia; Bacteroidales; Rikenellaceae.
CUGCCGCUGCCUCCGUCUGUUCGGAGGGGGAGGAAAGUCCGGGCAACACAGAGCACCGUCCUUCCUAACGGGAAGAUUUCCGUAAGGGAAUAGUAGUGUAACAGAAAAUAACCGCCGGAAUUGCUCGCAAUUUCGGUAAGGGUGAAAAGGCGGGGUAAGAGCCCACCGCGGGUGUGGCGACACACUUUGGCCGUACGCCUGACGGGUUGCAAGACCAUGUAUACCGACGCAGUAGGAUUGCUCGUCCGAUGUCGGGGGGUAGGUUGCUGAUGAGUCGUGCGGGUGACCGUCGGCCUAGAUAAAUGGCAGAGACCUUCUUACAGGUACAGAACCCGGCUUAUACAUCC